This 120-nucleotide ribosomal RNA is filed under the name Pteropus vampyrus (large flying fox). The record is from RNAcentral. Lineage: Eukaryota; Metazoa; Chordata; Mammalia; Chiroptera; Pteropodidae.
GUUUACAGCCAUACCUCCCUGAACAAUCCUGAUCCUGUCGGAUCUCAGAAGGUAAGCAGCGUCAGGCCUGAUUAGUACUUGGAUGGGAGACCACCUAGGAAGAUCAUGGUGCUGUAGGAA